Molecule: long non-coding RNA, 255 nt
Filed under: Elaeis guineensis (African oil palm)
Lineage: Eukaryota; Viridiplantae; Streptophyta; Magnoliopsida; Arecales; Arecaceae
Description: long non-coding RNA (EGUI_LNC018324)
Source: RNAcentral
UUAUGGGCGGCUUAGAGGAAAAGAAUGAGGAGGAGAAGUGGAUGGAAAGGAAGGGGAGGAGAAAGAAGAGGAGAAUGGGUGGAGAAAGAGAAGGAGAAAGGGGAGGAGAAGAAUGGGUAGAGAAAGGAGAGAAGGAGAAAGGAGGGAGAAAGAGGAGGAAGGGGAGGAGGAGAAAUGAGUGAAAAGGAAGGGAAGGAAGAGAAAGGAGAAGAGGAAGGAAGAGGGAGAAAGAGAGACACCAGCCAUGGAGGAGGG